ACUGUUUUGGAAAGAAAUUUGUGACUUUUUUUCAGUGAUGUGAGGCAUGCCAAAGCAGCGUCAGAAGCGUUAGCUAGACUUGGGGAGAGAAAGACCAUUGCAGUCAGGUCAGACUUGCUUCAUUCAUACUGCUUACGGCCAAAUGACCGUGUUCCUAAUUCCAGUAGCAUGUUGGUAAUUGGGUCCCCAAGUUCAUAUUUAGUGUAUUCUUCCUUAUACCCCCUACCCCUCGUUACGUGACCCAAAUCAAUCAUCCAACGCAGCUAGCUAGGUUGACUAUAGCUUUUAACGUCUGGACGAAAAAACCUUAGGAUGCGUUCCAGAAUCUAAGUUUCAUGAACUGACUAUGCUGCAAGGCAGGGUCCUUCAGGAAAGAUACCCGAUAUCUCGAAGCUGAUGAAAACAUGGCGCAGACAAUAAAAGAUGCACCGUCUCUACCAGGACAAUUCUGCACGACAUCUUAGUCACUUCGGCCUCACUGAGAUUAUUAUGGAAUGAUGGAAAGAGCCUUGAAACUGGAGAGACUUGGGCUCUGUCCUGACUCUGUCACCAACAAGCCAAAUGGCCUUCAGCAAGUCAAGUGACCUGGCAGAGGACAGAAGAACUGACUUUUAGGAAAGGUUCAUGACAAAUGCUGACUGCAGAGGGCCAAAGGAAAAAGAUCAUGUAGAAAAUUGUUGCUAUACCAUAAUCCAGGGCUAGGAAAAGAUCGAUUUUAUAUAUAUAAAGAAAAAUGAGCAGAAAAGCAAAUUUCUCAAACUUUCUCAACAUUUAUGGGGCUCCCACCGAGCGCGAGGUGCUCCUCCUGGCGGGCGCUGAGGAUCAAGCAGUGCGACAAACCUGCCCCGCAGCUCAGGCCCUCGGAGGUGAACUGUGGCGGCCGCCUUUGGAUCACAGGGUUUUAAACGAUCAUAAUCUUAAUAAAAGGAAAAGAAAAAAGAAAACUUCCCACAAUGAAUCCCUGGUGCUGCCGUAACUUUACCGGUAAAACGUACCAAAUGCGGACAGAAGAAUUAGUAAGCAAACUUCACAAACGCUUUCAAAAAAUAGAAGUAGAGGGAACACUUCCAAACUCUGGGGCCAGUAUCGCCCUGAUACCAAAACCAGACAAAGACCUUACAGGCAAAGGAAAGCAAAUACUAAUACCGCUUACGAAAACAGACACAAAGAUCUUUAACCAAAGUGCGUCCAAUCACGUCGCCUUCGUCUGUCCGGGCUGCUGUGGCAGGAACCGCAGACUGAGCGGCUUAAACAACAAGCGUGCAUUUCUCACAGUUCCGGAGGCUGGGAAGUCCAAGAUCAAAGUGCCAGCAGAUUGGGCGUGUGUGGAGGGCCGCUGCCUGGUUCACAGGAGGUCGGCUUCUUGCUGUGUCCUCAGGUGAUGAAGGGAUGAGAGAGCUCUCUGGGGUCUCUUUGAUAAGGGCACUAAUCCUAGUCCUGAGGGCUCCACCUGCCCGCCCUCAUCACCUUCUGAAGGCCCCACCUCCUGAGACCAUCACACUGGGGAUCAGGAUUUCAACAUCUGGAUUUCCGGGGAGACACAGACAUUCAGGCUAUAGCACACGUCUCAUCAGAGCCAGCGUCCCUGUCCUGUUCAAACAGAGGAUCCAAGCUCCGACUGAGGAACAGGAGGGGAAAGAACAAACCGCUCCUCCAACCCACUGUGGAGGCCUUCUCUACUCAAUUCCUGAACCUUACACAGCUCUGUAAUUUUGUUUUUUGUCUGAAAGGAUUCGGCUGGUGAUGAAAACAGCCCAUCUUGUCUAAGAGGAGGGACUGGAAAAUAAUGACAAUAGACCCCAGUUGUCCUUGCUUCAACCCAGUGCUUCCUUUACCUCUUUUCCUCUUCUUUUACUUCCCCCAACUCUUUUGUUACCUCUCCCCACUCCCAAAACUUGACAGACAAGAGAAACGAAAACAGCUCUCCAAAAACUGUUCUGACAGCUGCUGGAAUGAGCUUGCACUAAGCAUCCGAGCAAGAGAGGAAAAAGCGGAACAAAUUCCCAACUCUUCCAACCUAACAUUUGUAGAAGCUAAAGAAACUGCGACCUGGGAAAUCCGGCGGUCACACCCCUCUCUCUUCUUUCCCAGAAAAAGUGCAGUUCUGUUUCAGCUCAGAGGUGAUCCACAUCAGCUGAUAAAGCCUUUAACCUCUAUUGGAAUCAUUUUAGCUACAUUUUUUUCUAGACAAGUUGGGCCACUAACUUGACCGCAAUUUUCUAGCAGCCAAAGCAAAGAGUGCCCCAGGAUCGCUUGUGUAAACUACAGUCCCCAGUGGGUCAACAGGAACCAUUUUCUCAAGGCCAGCAGCAGUGUUGGCAGCAAUGAGAUUCAAGGGAAAUCUGUCCCUUGAGUCAUCCUAGGGUUCAUAUUACACAGACAUCCUCAGCAGCGACCUCUCUAAGUAGCAGUUUGCUUUCUCAUCUGUUAAAGGGGCUAGUUAGAGUAACCUACCUGAUCAGGUUUCUGUCCUGAAUGAGACCACCGUCCAUAUAAAGGACCUAGCAGAGUGCCUGGCACAUAGUACGUCCGCAAUAAAUCUUAUCGUCACGACUUUGUAACCGGUAAGAGCACAAGCCGUGCAAUCCUGAUUUCAGGGGGAGUAAAGCAUUUCCCUACAUCCUUACAAUGCAAACAGAGGGGGCCUGUGCCAAGAUAACACAACCCAAGAUGCCAUCAGGAAGCACACACAGGGAAAACUACGAUCUGCUGUCUGGAAAAGAUAUAUCACGGGACACUCACUGAACUGACGAAAGGGACUCAAAUUUCUAGAGGUGGCUCUUCAGUGAUGCUGCGGUCCGGGCGCUUAUCUGACUAUUCAGUUGGGAUACAGUCUACUCUAUUCAACAAGGAGCAAAAAUACAUUGGCUUUAAAACAGACAAAAGUUUCUCUUUCCAAUAAUCCUUUGAUUAAGACCAGGGCUGGUCUAGUAGCUUGACAGUGUCAGCGACCUAAGCUUACAGAUGACUUUUUAGUGUCUGCUACUCCUGAAGAGGGCCAAGUCUAUUCACAUUUAUAAUUCCUUCCUCGCCAGCCCUCCUUUCACGUCUGGGAGACUGAGCACAGAGGAAAUCUUGGAGCUCGUGUAGAUCAGUCAGUAGCUUUCAAAGUCUUUGUUAAAGUAAAAGAAACCUUUCCUGGAAAAAGAUUCCAAUACAUAAGAGAGAAAAGAAGAGUUCCCUUAACUGGGAACAGGGGCUCUCUCACCACACCCUUUCCUGGAUGCGCCUCCCUGUUCAACCAAUAACUUAGCCUGACUCUUCUUCUUAAAACUGAGGAAACAGCAGGCCCAGAGGAGGUAAGUGACUGAGAGAGUGAAACCAUGAGGGCUGGUAGAGCUGAACUGGAAGGGCAGUUGUCUUGAGCCCCGGCCCAAGGCCCUCCGCAAGACCCUACAGGAAGAAAAAAUUAGCGAAGAACUGUGUGUCCAACCAAACGACGUCUUUGUGGUAGAGAAGCGGUCCAUAUAAAGGAGUUUAUUGGUGCCCAGUAUUGCUUAAAAUGAAACGUUUUGGAAAGAAAUAUGUGACUUUUUUUCAGUGAUGUGAGGCAUGCCAAAGCAGUGUCAGAAGCGUUAGCUAGACUUGGGGAGAGAAAGACCAUUGCAGUCAGGUCAGACUUGCUUCAUUCAUACUGCUUUCGGCCAAAUGACCGUGUUCCUAAUUCCAGUAGCAUGUUGGUAAUUGGGUCCCCAAGUUCAUAUUUAGUGUAUUCUUCCUUAUACCCCCUACACCUCGUUACGUGACCCAAAUCAAUCAUCCAACGCAGCAAGCUAGGUUGACUACAGCUUUUAACGUCUGGACCAAAAAACCUUAGGAUGCGUUCCAGAAUCUAAGUUUCAUGAACUGACUAUGCUGCAAGGCAGGGUCCUUCAGGAAAGAUACCGGAUACAUGGAAGCGGAUGCAAACAUGGCGCAGACAAUAAAAGAUGCACCAUCUCUACCAAGACAAUUCUGCACGACAUCUUAGUCACUUCGGCCUCACUGAGAUUAUUAUGGAAUGAAGGAAAGAGCCUUGAAACUGGAGAGACUUGGGCUCUGUCCUGACUCUGUCACCAACAAGCCAAAUGGCCUUCAGCAAGUCAACUGACCUGGCAGAGGACAGAAGAACUGACUUUUAGGAAAGGUUCAUGACAAAUGCUGACUGCAGAGGGCCAAAGAAAAAAGAUCAUGUAGAAAACUGUUGCUAUACCAUAAUCCAGGGCUAGGAAAAGAUCGAUUUUAUAUAUAUAAAGAAAAAUGAGCAGAAAAGCAAAUUUCUUAAACUUUCCCAACAUUUAUGGGGCACUCACUGAGCACGAGUUGCUCCUCCUGGCGGGCGCUGAGGAUCAAGCAGUGCGACAAACCUGCCCCGCAGCUCCGCCCUCGGAGGUGAACUGUGGCGGUCGCCUUUGGAUCACAGGGUUUUAAACGAUCAUAAUCUUAAUAAAAGGAAAAGAAAAAAGAAAACUUCCCACAAUGAAUCCCUGGUGCUGCCGUAACUUUACCGGUAAAACGUACCAAAUGCGGACAGAAGAAUUAGUAAGCAAACUUCACAAACGCUUUCAAAAAAUAGAAGUAGAGGGAACACUUCCAAACUCUGGGGCCAGUAUCGCCCUGAUACCAAAACCAGACAAAGACCUUACAGGCAAAGGAAAGCAAAUACUAAUACCGCUUACGAAAACAGACACAAAGAUCUUUAACCAAAGUGCGUCCAAUCACGUCGCCUUCGUCUGUCCGGGCUGCUGUGACAGGAUACCGCAGACUGAGCGGCUUAAACAACAAGCGUGCAUUUCUCACAGUUCCGGAGGCUGGGAAGUCCAAGAUCAAAGUGCCAGCAGAUUGGGCGUGUGUGGAGGGCCGCUGCCUGGUUCACAGGAGUUCGGCUUCUUGCUGUGUCCUCAGGUGAUGAAGGGAUGAGAGAGCUCUCUGGGGUCUCUUUGAUAAGGGCACUAAUCCUAGUCCUGAGGGCUCCACCUGCCCGCCCUCAUCACCUUCUGAAGGCCCCACCUCCUGAGACCAUCACACUGGGGAUCAGGAUUUCAACAUCUGGAUUUCCGGGGAGACACAGACAUUCCGGCUAGAGCACACGUCUCAUCAGAGCCAGCGUCCCUGUCCUGUUCAAACAGAGGAUCCAAGCUCUGACUGAGGAACAGGAGGCGAAAGAACAAACCGCUCCUCCAACCCACUGUGGAGGCCUUCUCGACUCAAUUCCUGAACCUUACACAGCUCUGUAAUUUUGUUUUUUCUCUGAAAGGAUUCGGCUGGUGAUGAAAACAGUCCAUCUUGUCUAAGAGGAGGGACUGGAAAAUAAUGGCAAUAGACCCCAGUGGUCCUUGCUUCAACCCGGUGCUUCCUUUACCUCUUUUCCUCUUCUUUUACUUCCCCCAACUCUUUUGUUACCUCUCCCCACUCCCAAAACUUGACAGACAAGAGAAACGAAAACAGCUCUCCAAAAACUGUUCUGACAGCUGCUGGAAUGAGCUUGCACUAAGGAUCCGAGCAAGAGAUGAAAAAGCGGAACAAAUUCCCAACUCUUCCAACCUAACAUUUGUAGAAGCUAAAGAAACUGCGACCUGGGAAAUCCGGCGGUCACACCCCUCUCUCUUCUCCUUUCCCAGAAAAAGUGCAGUUCUGUUUCAGCUCAGAGGUGAUCCACAUCAGCUGAUAAAGCCUUUAAACUCUGUUGGAAUCAUUUUAGCUACAUUUUUUUCUAGACAAGUUCUGCCACUAAUUUGACCCCAAUUUUCUAGCAGCCAAAGCAAAGAGUGCCACAGGAUCGCUUGUCUAAACUACAGUCCCCCGUGGGUCAACACAAACCAUUUUCUCAAGGCCAGCAGCAGUGUUGGCGGCAAUGAGAUUCAAGGGAAAUCUGUCCCUUGAGUCAUCCUAGGGUUCAUAUUACACAGACACCCUCAGCAGACCUCUCUAAGUAGCAGUUUGCUUUCUCAUCUGUUAAAGGGGGGAAUUAGAGUAACCUACCUGAUCAGGUUUCUGUCCUGAAUGAGACCACCGUCCAUAUAAAGGACCUGGCAGAGUGCCUGGCACACAGUACGUCCGCAAUAAAUCUUAGCCUCGUGACUUUGUAACAGGUAAGAGCACAAGCCGUGCAAUCCUGAUUUCAGGGCGAGUACAGCAUUUCCCUACAUCCUUACAAUGCAAACAGAGGGGGCCUGUGCCAAGAUAACACAACCCAAGAUGCCAUCAGGAAGCACACACAGGGAAAACUACGAUCUGCUGUCUGGAAAAGAUAUAUCACGGGACACUCACUGAACUGACGAAAGGGACUCAAAUUUCUAGAGGUGGCUCUUCAGUGAUGCUGCGGUCCGGGCGCUUAUCUGACUAUUCAGUUGGGAUACAGUCUACUCUAUUCAACAAGGAGCAAAAAUACAUUGGCU
This is a long non-coding RNA of Equus caballus (horse), 6377 nucleotides long. The record is from Ensembl. NCBI's taxonomy places the organism in Eukaryota, Metazoa, Chordata, Mammalia, Perissodactyla, Equidae.